Molecule: non-coding RNA, 438 nt
Organism: Microtus ochrogaster (prairie vole)
Lineage: Eukaryota; Metazoa; Chordata; Mammalia; Rodentia; Cricetidae
Source: the annotation of a RefSeq genome assembly
AUGGACUUAGGGCUUAUACUAGUUUCCUUUUGCCUUAUUUUAAAAGGUGUACAGUGUGAGGUGCAGUUGCUGGAGUCUGGGGGAGGCUUAGUGCAGCCUGGAAAGUCCCUGAAACUCUCCUGUGCAGCCUCUGGAUUCACCUUCAGUAACUACUGGAUGGACUGCUUUCGCCAGGCUCCAGGGAAGGGGCUGGAGUGGCUAGCACAUAUUAAUGCAAAUGGUGGUAGCACCUGGUAUACUGACGCUGUGAAGGGCAGGUUCACAAUCUCCAGAGACAAUGCCAAGAACAGUCUGUACCUGGAAAUGAGCAGUCUGAAGUCAGAGGACACAGCCAUGUAUUACUGUGCAAGAGACACAGUGAGUGAAUACUACUGUGAGCUCAGACAAAAACCUCCCUGUGGGAACACAGAAGCAGCAGGGGGCACUGAGAGCACUUAG